This 475-nucleotide ribosomal RNA is filed under the name Brachymonas sp. canine oral taxon 015. RNAcentral describes it as "bacterial SSU rRNA". It matches the Rfam family "Bacterial small subunit ribosomal RNA", at positions 9 to 475 of the family's 1533-position model. The record is from RNAcentral. Lineage: Bacteria; Pseudomonadati; Pseudomonadota; Betaproteobacteria; Burkholderiales; Comamonadaceae.
GAGUUUGAUCAUGGCUCAGAUUGAACGCUGGCGGCAUGCUUUACACAUGCAAGUCGAACGGCAGCACAGGGAGCUUGCUCCUGGGUGGCGAGUGGCGAACGGGUGAGUAAUGUAUCGGAACGUGCCUGGUAGUGGGGGAUAACCACUCGAAAGAGUGGCUAAUACCGCAUGAGAUCUCUGGAUGAAAGCGGGGGACCUUUGGGCCUCGCGCUAUCGGAGCGGCCGAUAUCAGAUUAGGUUGUUGGUGGGGUAAAGGCCUACCAAGCCUGCGAUCUGUAGCUGGUCUGAGAGGACGACCAGCCACACUGGGACUGAGACACGGCCCAGACUCCUACGGGAGGCAGCAGUGGGGAAUUUUGGACAAUGGGCGCAAGCCUGAUCCAGCAAUGCCGCGUGCAGGACGAAGGCCCUCGGGUUGUAAACUGCUUUUGUACAGAACGAAAAGUCUCUGGCUAAUAUCUGGGAAACAUGACGG